ACGCAAGUCUGACCCAGCCAUGCCGCGUGCAGGAUGACGGCCCUAUGGGUUGUAAGCUGCUUUUGUACGGGAAGAACCCCUUCGAUCCUUCGGAGGCUGACGGUACUGUACGAAUAAGCAUCGGCUACCUCCGUGCCAGCAGCCGCGGUAAUACGGAGGAUGCAAGCGUUAUUCGGAUCUAUUGGGUUUAAAGGGUGCGCAGGCGGAAUGGUAAGUCAGUGGUGAAAUCUCCCGGCUCAACCGGGAAACAGCCGUUGAUACUGCCGUUCUAGAGUACAGUUGGAGUGGGCGGAAUGUGUCAUGUAGCGGUGAAAUGCUUAGAUAUGACACAGAACAUCGAUCGCGAAGGCAGCUCACCAAGGUGUAACUGACGCUCAUGCACGAAAGCGUG
Molecule: ribosomal RNA, 391 nt
Filed under: uncultured bacterium
Lineage: Bacteria
Description: bacterial SSU rRNA
Rfam family: Bacterial small subunit ribosomal RNA
Source: RNAcentral